UGUUCAUGAUGAGGACAUUUCUUAAAAAAGUCCUUAAACCUUUCCCAAGCUUCAAUAAGAGUUUCAUAUUCAGUUUUCCUAAAAGUGGUGAUGUCAUUCCUUUUUUA
Molecule: small nucleolar RNA, 107 nt
Organism: Cicer arietinum (chickpea)
Lineage: Eukaryota; Viridiplantae; Streptophyta; Magnoliopsida; Fabales; Fabaceae
Source: RefSeq, a predicted model, not a curated record